UACGUAGGUGACAAGCGUUAUCCGGAAUUAUUGGGCGUAAAGCGCGCGCAGGCGGCGAGCCAAGUCUGACGUGAAAGCUCCUGGCUUAACUGGGAGAGGUCGUUGGAAACUAGCUUGCUUGAGGCAAGGAGAGGGGUGCAGAAUUCCCGGUGUAGUGGUGGAAUGCGUAGAGAUCGGGAGGAAUACCAGAGGCGAAAGCGGCACCCUGGUCUUGAACUGACGCUGAAGUGCGAAAGCGUGGGAAGCAAACGGG
RNAcentral lists this ribosomal RNA (253 nucleotides) under uncultured bacterium. Its description in RNAcentral is "partial 16S ribosomal RNA". It matches the Rfam family "Bacterial small subunit ribosomal RNA", at positions 524 to 776 of the family's 1533-position model. The record is from RNAcentral.